This 615-nucleotide non-coding RNA is filed under the name unclassified sequences. RNAcentral describes it as "ROOL RNA". It matches the Rfam family "ROOL RNA". From Rfam's summary of the family: Firmicutes, Fusobacteria (1 example), Tenericutes (1 example). Environment (Cow rumen (57)) The record is from Rfam by way of RNAcentral.
ACAAUGUAUUGUAACAAUAAAGAACUCAGUGUAGAACAGCUAGUCCCUGUGCUGAGAGCAUGUGUAUAACGAGUGAAGAUGUAAUGGGAUACUUUUACAUAGGCGCUUCCAAAAUAUCGUGAGGUAUAUUAGGAAAGAUGGAAACCAUCGAAGUCACGCAUGUGUGCAAAAAUAUAUUGCCAGUAAAAUGUCGUGUUCAUCCAGCCAUCAUAAUAGACCGCUCUGUUGGUAGAGAAGAAUCGUGAUGCCUAUAAAGGUGGAAUUUUAUAGGAGUUAAGUAGCGAAGUUCUAAAUAAGAUGGUAGUGUCGUUGAAUCACAGAAAUGUGAGUAUAAUGGAUGUUUAAUGGUCGAGUAGGGCAAAUCGACAUAAAUUUGAUUGGAUAAAAACAAUUCUUAUUAUGAUUAAAGAAUGAUUCUAAUAGGAUAUUAAACUGAAUGACUUAGCCUGAAAGUUGCACAAAACCAAUUGUGUCUAUCCUCGGUAUCUUUUGUAAGAUAUUGGUGAAGAAAGUUAUAGGGUCGCUCCUUAUAGCUCAGACUUCAUUAGAUAGUGACAGAAUAUUACGACAUUAUAUUUUCGUAGGGUGAAGAUCCCUUUAUUGUUACAAUAGAUU